RNAcentral lists this small nuclear RNA (104 nucleotides) under Sciurus vulgaris (Eurasian red squirrel). Lineage: Eukaryota; Metazoa; Chordata; Mammalia; Rodentia; Sciuridae. The record is from RNAcentral.
AACUUGCACUUGCUUUUUAUACUAAAAUUGGAAUGAUACAGAGAAAAUUAGCAUGAUCCCUAUGUAAGGAUGACACACAUAUUUGUAAAACAUGCUGUAUUUUA